CAGCAGCCGCGGGAAUACGAAGGGUGCAAGCGUUAAUCGGAAUUACUGGGCGUAAAGCGUGCGUAGGCGGUGAGUUAAGUCUGCUGUGAAAUCCCCGGGCUCAACCUGGGAAUGGCAGUGGAUACUGGCUCGCUAGAGUGUGUCAGAGGAUGGUGGAAUUCCCGGUGUAGCGGUGAAAUGCGUAGAGAUCGGGAGGAACAUCAGUGGCGAAGGCGGCCAUCUGGGACAACACUGACGCUGAGGCACGAAAGCGUGGGGAGCAAACAGGAUUAGAUACCCGCGUAGUCCCUGUCUCUUAUAC
RNAcentral lists this ribosomal RNA (301 nucleotides) under uncultured bacterium. RNAcentral's name for it is "partial 16S ribosomal RNA". It matches the Rfam family "Bacterial small subunit ribosomal RNA", at positions 509 to 807 of the family's 1533-position model. The record is from RNAcentral.